This 22-nucleotide microRNA is filed under the name Nematostella vectensis (starlet sea anemone). RNAcentral's name for it is "nve-miR-9417". The record is from miRBase by way of RNAcentral. Lineage: Eukaryota; Metazoa; Cnidaria; Anthozoa; Actiniaria; Edwardsiidae.
UGAGAACGUAUCGGCAGGGUCU